GACAGAGGAUGCAAGCGUUAUCCGGAAUCACUGGGCUUAAAGCGUGUGUAGGCGGGAUGGUAAGUACCUUGUGAAAUCCCACAGCUUAACUGUGGAAAUGCUUGGUAUACUGCCGUUCUUGAGUCACCUAGGGGCAGCUGGAACAGAUGGUGGAGCGGUGAAAUGCAUAGAUAUCAUCUGGAACGCCAAUGGUGCAGACAAGCUGCUGGGGGUGUACUGACGCUGAGGCACGAAAGCCAGGGGAGCAAACGGG
RNAcentral lists this ribosomal RNA (253 nucleotides) under uncultured bacterium. RNAcentral's name for it is "partial 16S ribosomal RNA". It matches the Rfam family "Bacterial small subunit ribosomal RNA", at positions 524 to 776 of the family's 1533-position model. The record is from RNAcentral.